This 465-nucleotide ribosomal RNA is filed under the name uncultured bacterium. RNAcentral's name for it is "partial 16S ribosomal RNA". It matches the Rfam family "Bacterial small subunit ribosomal RNA", at positions 28 to 507 of the family's 1533-position model. The record is from RNAcentral.
GACGAACGCUGGCGGCGUGCUUAACACAUGCAAGUCGAACGGAAAGGCCCCUUUGGGGGUACUCGAGUGGCGAACGGGUGAGUAACACGUGCGUAACCUGCCCUCGACUUCGGGAUAACUUCAGGAAACUGGGGCUAAUACCGGAUAGGAAUCCUUGCUGCAUGGUGGGGGUUGGAAAGCUUCGGCGGUUUUGGAUGGACUCGCGGCUUAUCAGCUUGUUGGUGGGGUAGUGGCUUACCAAGGCUUUGACGGGUAGCCGGCCUGAGAGGGCGACCGGCCACAUUGGGACUGAGAUACGGCCCAGACUCCUACGGGAGGCAGCAGUGGGGAAUAUUGCACAAUGGGCGGAAGCCUGAUGCAGCAACGCCGCGUGCGGGAUGACGGCCUUCGGGUUGUAAACCGCUUUCAGCAGGGGCGAAGCUUGUGGUGACGGUACCUGCAGAAGAAGCACCGGCUAACUACGUG